RNAcentral lists this unclassified non-coding RNA (22 nucleotides) under Mus musculus (house mouse). Its description in RNAcentral is "oocyte_clustered_small_RNA11581". Lineage: Eukaryota; Metazoa; Chordata; Mammalia; Rodentia; Muridae. The record is from RNAcentral.
AUGCUCAGCACCUGGGUCUUGA